CAGUCGCCGCGGUAAUACGUAGGUGGCAAGCGUUGUCCGGAAUUAUUGGGCGUAAAGGGCUCGCAGGCGGUUUCUUAAGUCUGAUGUGAAAGCCCCCGGCUCAACCGGGGAGGGUCAUUGGAAACUGGGAAACUUGAGUGCAGAAGAGGAGAGUGGAAUUCCACGUGUAGCGGUGAAAUGCGUAGAGAUGUGGAGGAACACCAGUGGCGAAGGCGACUCUCUGGUCUGUAACUGACGCUGAGGGGCGAAAGCGUGGGGAGCGAACAGGAUUAGAGACCCCCGUAGUCCCUGUCUCUUAUAA
Molecule: ribosomal RNA, 301 nt
Filed under: uncultured bacterium
Lineage: Bacteria
Description: partial 16S ribosomal RNA
Rfam family: Bacterial small subunit ribosomal RNA
Source: RNAcentral